GGCAGGUGCACAAUGUUUCCUUGGGAAUCCUCAGCAGGGCACGUCUGGCUUUUACCACCCAGUUGCUUCGAGCCAGGAGAUGGAGGAGUCAUCUGUUGCACGCUGGAGGCUGGAGCCUGCAGAUGGCAUGGUUCUGUGGCUCACCUCGCUGCAGUUGGUGGCAGAGACAGAGACUGCAGCUUGACCAGAGUGGUGGAGUGGUUGGAGUGCAGUGGCAUGAUCUUGACUCACUGCAACCUCCACCUCCCGGGUUCAAGCCAUUCUCUUCCCUCAGCCUCCUCAGUAGCUGGAUUACAGGUACCUCCCACCACACCCAGAUAUGUAUCUCAAGAGCACUCCACAACAAAGAUUCUGCCUGCAAUCCUCCACUUCAAGGUCUGUUCCAGGAAACCUGUGUAACACAGUUAUGCAUAGAGUGGUCUUAGGAAGCUGACUCUAACAUGAAAAUUUAGAGUUGGAUCUUUUGCUGACAUAUUGAAUAUUCAUAAGAGCAUAUGAUACAUUUGUCUAUCAUAAACAUGUCAUUUCAAAAAACCCUCAAAGUUGCCUUGUAGAACAUAAUUUUAAAACUAGUGUGUAGGAAUAUUUCAUAUCAGUUAUUCAGUCUUCUUAAUAUCUGAACCGAAAUUAAUCUUCCAUUCUGCUUUUAUUUAUAAAUAAUGAUUUAUUGUCAGAUUCAAUAAUUUAUAUUUUCAUUUAUUCUAAGGUAGGAAAUACCAGCAUAAAAAUAAAUUAUUUGAAACAAAUCACAUUGUUGUCCCAUUUUACCAUUACUCACAUGUAGAAGAUAUUGUUUUUAACAAAAACAAUAAGAGAAACAGAAACUACCAUUUAUUAACUGAUGCUUACUGGAAGCUUUAGAAGGAUCUUAUUUAACUUUCAAUCAAGUUUUUCAUGGACAUUUUUGUUAUUGAGAAAUAAUUUUAAUUUAUCAGAUCCUCAAAGCAAAUUAUAUAGGUGCCAUUAUUAACAGAUUUUUUAAAAAAACCUGAUUCAUAGAAAAGGUUAAUGAUAUGGUUUGGAUCUUUGACCCCAUCAAAUCUCAUGUUGAAUUGCAAUCCCCAGUGCUGGAAGUGGGGCCUGGUGGGAGCUGAUUAAAUUAUGGAGGUGGAGUUCUCGUGAAUGGUAUAGCACCAUUCCUUUGGUGCUGUCUUGUGGUUGAGUUUUCAUGACAUUUGGUUGUUUAAAAGUUUGUGGCAUCUUUCCCAUCUCUCUCUUGCUCUUCCUGCAGCCAGGUGAAGGGCUGUUCCCCCUUUGCCUUCUGCCAUGAUUGUAAAUUUCCUGAGGCCUCCCCAAAAGCUGAGCAGGUGUCAGCAUCAUGCUUCCUUAACAGCCAAUGGAAUUACGAGUCAAUUAAAUCUAUUUUCCUUAUAAAUUACAAGUCUUCAGUUUUUCUUCAUAGCAGUGAGGAAAUGAACUAAUUCAGCUAGUAAAUGACAAAUGCCAUAAAAAUAGCAAAUAGCA
Molecule: long non-coding RNA, 1464 nt
Filed under: Homo sapiens (human)
Lineage: Eukaryota; Metazoa; Chordata; Mammalia; Primates; Hominidae
Description: HSALNT0371984
Source: RNAcentral